UUGGUAUUUAACGCAUGUGAACCCAAUUUAGCAACACCCCAAGAAAACCCUAUUUUUUAACUACACGUUAACCUUACACUAGAGCAUUCCUGGAAAGAUAUAAAGAAAAAGAAGGAACUCGGCAAACUUAAAUCCCGCCUGUUUACCAAAAACAUCGCCUCUUGACAUUAUCAUAAGAGGUCCAGCCUGCCCAGUGAAAUUUUUCAACGGCCGCGGUACCCUGACCGUGCGAAGGUAGCAUAAUCACUUGUUCUUUAAAUGGGGACUAGUAUCAACGGCACCACGAGGAUUUUACUGUCUCCUUUUUCUAAUCAGUGAAACUGAUCUCCCCGUGAAGAAGCGGGGCUAAUAAUAUAAGACGAGAAGACCCCAUGGAGCUUUAAACCCAAUAGCACCUCCAACUAUCUAUUCCCUCUUAGUUUUAAAGUUCUGCUCAUUGGUUUUAGGUUGGGGUGACCGCGGAGUAUAACUUAGCCUCCACAACGCAAGGAGCUUCCUCCUUAUCUUAGAGCCACACCUCAAAGAAUUAAUAAUUUGACGUAAAGUGAUCCAAUAAUUUGAUUAAUGAACCAAGUUACCCUGGGGAUAACAGCGCAAUCCAUUUCUAGAGCCCCUAUCGUCAAAUGGGUUUACGACCUCGAUGUUGGAUCAGGGUAUCCUAGUGGUGCAGCCGCUACUAAUGGUUUGUUUGUUCAACAAUUAAAACCCUACGUGAUCUGAG
This 721-nucleotide ribosomal RNA is filed under the name Fejervarya muangkanensis. RNAcentral describes it as "partial 16S ribosomal RNA". It matches the Rfam family "Bacterial large subunit ribosomal RNA", at positions 1579 to 2609 of the family's 2925-position model. The record is from RNAcentral. Lineage: Eukaryota; Metazoa; Chordata; Amphibia; Anura; Dicroglossidae.